GUUCAGUAUGCAAACACUCAGAGGUGGCUGACCGCAACCAGAACAUCUACCCAACCCGGAACAAGGUCUGCAAGCCCUGUAGCUGCCCAGCCUCAAGGCAGAAGAAAGAGCCUGGAGACAGUGAGAGAGACAUCAAUGGCUUAUUGGACAGAGGAAUCUUGAGUCUGAAGCAAAAGUUCCUGGAGCGUCAACCCAUUGUGUGCAGCAGACGUGACAGCAGUCUUCACUACUCAGGGGAGAAAGAGACUGCCAUUUAUCGAAGGAAUUGACAUCAGGUUACCUCAUCAGUUACCGGGGAAACCAGCAGCUGGAGCAGGUCCUGCACAACUCCUCAGGUUAAUGACCAUCAUGAGAGCAGAUGUUUCCCUUUAAAACACUAGCAGGUGGAGCCAUUCUGGACUAAGGAUUAGAACCAUCACUAGCUAGGGAGGGGACAAGCACAUUCAUGAGAGAGGGUGUAGGUGAAGUAGGGACUGGUCCAGUGGACGAUGUACACAGAGCAAGAGAACGGCCAUCUUGAGUGACCUGAACAUACAGACACCCAAAGCACAAGCAGUAAAAUCAAAAGAAAACAAGUGGGACUUCAUCAAAUUAAAAAGCUUCUGCACAGCAAAAGAAAUCUACCAACAAAGUGACAAGAUAUCCUAUGAAAUGGAAAAAAAAUAUUUGGAAACCAUGUAUCUGAUAAGUGGUUAACAUGUAUCUGCUAAGUGGUUAAUAUCCAAAACAUUUAAAAAACUCAUACAGCUC
Long non-coding RNA from Bos taurus (domestic cattle), 750 nucleotides. The record is from Ensembl. NCBI's taxonomy places the organism in Eukaryota, Metazoa, Chordata, Mammalia, Artiodactyla, Bovidae.